AGACGGAGGGGGCUAGCGUUGUUCGGAAUUACUGGGCGUAAAGCGCGCGUAGGCGGAUUGAUCAGUCAGAGGUGAAAUCCCAGGGCUCAACCCUGGAACUGCCUUUGAUACUGUCAGUUUGAGUUCGAGAGAGGUGAGUGGAAUUCCGAGUGUAGAGGUGAAAUUCGUAGAUAUUCGGAGGAACACCAGUGGCGAAGGCGGCUCUCUGGACUGAUACUGACGCUGAGGUGCGAAAGCUAGGGGAGCAAACAGGAUUAGAUACCCCAGUAGUCC
Molecule: ribosomal RNA, 273 nt
Filed under: uncultured bacterium
Lineage: Bacteria
Description: partial 16S ribosomal RNA
Rfam family: Bacterial small subunit ribosomal RNA
Source: RNAcentral